AUUGAACGCUGGCGGCAGGCUUAACACAUGCAAGUCGAGCGGGGUGAUGGUGCUUGCACUAUCACUUAGCGGCGGACGGGUGAGUAAUGCUUAGGAAUCUGCCUAUUAGUGGGGGACAACAUCUCGAAAGGGAUGCUAAUACCGCAUACGUCCUACGGGAGAAAGCAGGGGAUCACUUGUGACCUUGCGCUAAUAGAUGAGCCUAAGUCGGAUUAGCUAGUUGGUGGGGUAAAGGCCUACCAAGGCGACAAUCUGUAGCGGGGCUGAGAGGAUGAUCCGCCACACUGGGACUGAGACACGGCCCAGACUCCUACGGGAGGCAGCAGUGGGGAAUAUUGGACAAUGGGGGGAACCCUGAUCCAGCCAUGCCGCGUGUGUGAAGAAGGCCUUAUGGUUGUAAAGCACUCUAAGCGAGGAGGAGGCUCUUUUGGUUAAUACCCAGAAUGAGUGGACGUUACUCGCAGAAUAGGCACCGGCUAACUCUGUGCCAGCCGCCGCAGUAA
This 503-nucleotide ribosomal RNA is filed under the name uncultured bacterium. RNAcentral's name for it is "partial 16S ribosomal RNA". It matches the Rfam family "Bacterial small subunit ribosomal RNA", at positions 30 to 523 of the family's 1533-position model. The record is from RNAcentral.